GCCUACGUAGCUUAGAUAGAGCAUAGCAGUGAAGAUGCUGGGGGGACUUUUUAGUCCGUUGGCG
This 64-nucleotide transfer RNA is filed under the name Kaylathalia klovstadi. RNAcentral describes it as "tRNA-Phe". Lineage: Eukaryota; Metazoa; Arthropoda; Collembola; Entomobryomorpha; Isotomidae. The record is from RNAcentral.